This is a long non-coding RNA of Sinocyclocheilus grahami, 291 nucleotides long. RefSeq lists it as uncharacterized. The transcript is spliced from 2 exons. The record is from RefSeq and is a predicted model, not a curated record. Lineage: Eukaryota; Metazoa; Chordata; Actinopteri; Cypriniformes; Cyprinidae.
UAAAAGCAUUAUAAGCAUAUCGGCAUUGCCAUCUUUGGACUCUACGAUCAACUUGCAGCCAUGGCCCUUUAAAAAAAGUUAUCAAAUUAAUACAAAAACUUUUAACAUUUAAAAUGUUAAUUUGUACAUUAAGCUGUUAAAUGCAUUUUAAAAUGAUACCUUUUACCUUUCUGCUUCAAGGUAAUGCACCCACAAGAACGAAGCACACCACACCAGCAGAAACUGGAGAAAAACACAGGACUGAAGAAGAAACAGGCAGGCUGGCAGGACAUGAGAGGAACAUACCAAUAA